AGACUCCUACGGGAGGCAGCAGUGGGGAAUAUUGCACAAUGGGCGCAAGCCUGAUGCAGCGAUGCCGCGUGCGGGAUGAAGGCCCUAGGGUUGUAAACCGCUUUCAGUAGGGAAGAAAAUGACGGUACCUACAGAAGAAGGUGCGGCCAACUACGUGCCAGCAGCCGCGGUGACACGUAGGCACCAAGCGUUGUCCGGAUUUAUUGGGCGUAAAGAGCUCGUAGGCGGUUCAGUUAGUCGGGUGUGAAAACUCUGGGCUCAACCCAGAGACGCCACCCGAUACUGCUGUGACUAGAGUACGGUAGGGGAGCGGGGAAUUCCUGGUGUAGCGGUGAAAUGCGCAGAUAUCAGGAGGAACACCAGCGGCGAAGGCGCCGCUCUGGGCCGUAACUGACGCUGAGGAGCGAAAGCAUGGGUAGCAAACAGGAUUAGAUACCCUGGUAGUCCAUGCCGUAAACGUUGGGCACUAGGUGUGGGUCUCAACCAACGAGAUCCGCGCCGUCGCUAACGCAUUAAGUGCCCCGCCUGGGGAGUACGGUCGCAAGACUAAAACUCAAAGGAAUUGACGGGGGCCCGCACAAGAAG
RNAcentral lists this ribosomal RNA (585 nucleotides) under uncultured bacterium. Its description in RNAcentral is "bacterial SSU rRNA". It matches the Rfam family "Bacterial small subunit ribosomal RNA", at positions 333 to 932 of the family's 1533-position model. The record is from RNAcentral.